GGAUGCGAUCAUACCAGCACUAAAGCACCGGAUCCCAUCAGAACUCCGAAGUUAAGCGUGCUUGGGCGAGAGUAGUACUUGGAUGGGUGACCUCCUGGGAAGUCCUUGUGUUGCAUUCC
RNAcentral lists this ribosomal RNA (119 nucleotides) under Triticum aestivum (bread wheat). Lineage: Eukaryota; Viridiplantae; Streptophyta; Magnoliopsida; Poales; Poaceae. The record is from RNAcentral.